RNAcentral lists this ribosomal RNA (324 nucleotides) under uncultured eukaryote. RNAcentral's name for it is "partial 18S ribosomal RNA". It matches the Rfam family "Eukaryotic small subunit ribosomal RNA", at positions 1470 to 1796 of the family's 1831-position model. The record is from RNAcentral.
CCCUUAGAUGUUCUGGGCUGCACGCGCGCUACACUGAAGCUAUCAACACGUUUUCCCUCCCUGAGAAGGGCGGGUAACCUUCUGAAUCAGCUUCGUGGUAGGGAUCGGGGCUUGCAAUUGUUCCCCGUGAACCAGGAAUUCCUAGUAGACGCGAGUCAUAAGCUCGCAUCGAUUAAGUCCCUGCCCUUUGUACACACCGCCCGUCGCUACUACCGAUUGAACGUUUUAGGGAGGCAUUUGGACCGACGCAUCUCAGUUUAACCGCUGGUUUGUGUUGGAAAGACUUCCAAACUUGAGCGUUUAGAGGAAGUAAAAGUCGUAACA